This is a long non-coding RNA of Carassius carassius (crucian carp), 274 nucleotides long. RefSeq lists it as uncharacterized. The transcript is spliced from 2 exons. Lineage: Eukaryota; Metazoa; Chordata; Actinopteri; Cypriniformes; Cyprinidae. The record is from RefSeq and is a predicted model, not a curated record.
ACACACACACACAGCUUAUGGAUGAGAGAGCCAGAUGGAGGCAUCCGACUGAUGAGAGAUUGAGAGAGAGGGGUACAGAACCAUGUAUCAUGCGAGAUUCCCCAUAUGACCCUGAGAGUCAACAGAAUCGCUCUUGGGUCCAACGGGAUUCUGUUAUGGCUUACAUCGACAAUGCUGUCACACCAGACCAGUAAAUAGUCUCAGUGGAUGCGGAAUGCUGUGAAUACGGACUACUCUUCUCAUAUCCUAUAUAAUAGAGAAGUGCAAUUUCUAA